GCAGUCAUGGCCGAGUGGUUAAAGCGAUGGACUAGAAAUCCAUUGGGGUCUCCCCGCACAGGUUCGAAUCCUGUUGACUGCG
RNAcentral lists this transfer RNA (82 nucleotides) under Ixodes scapularis (black-legged tick). It matches the Rfam family "tRNA". From Rfam's summary of the family: Transfer RNA (tRNA) molecules are approximately 80 nucleotides in length. Their secondary structure includes four short double-helical elements and three loops (D, anti-codon, and T loops). Lineage: Eukaryota; Metazoa; Arthropoda; Arachnida; Ixodida; Ixodidae. The record is from Rfam by way of RNAcentral.